AUUGAACGCUGGCGGCAGGCUUAACACAUGCAAGUCGAGCGGAGACUUCGGUCUUAGCGGCGAACGGGUGAGUAAUACCUAGGAAUCUGCCCAUUAGCGGGGGGACAACGUUUCGAAAGGAACGCUAAUACCGCAUACGCCCUACGGGGGAAAGCAGGGGAUCUUUUGACCUUGCACUAAUGGAUGAGCCUAGGCCGGAUUAGCUAGUUGGUAGGGUAAAGGCCUACCAAGGCGACGAUCUGUAGCUGGUCUGAGAGGAUGACCAGCCACACUGGAACUGAGACACGGUCCAGACUCCUACGGGAGGCAGCAGUGGGGAAUAUUGGACAAUGGGCGCAAGCCUGAUCCAGCCAUGCCGCGUGUGUGAAGAAGGCC
This 375-nucleotide ribosomal RNA is filed under the name uncultured bacterium. Its description in RNAcentral is "bacterial SSU rRNA". It matches the Rfam family "Bacterial small subunit ribosomal RNA", at positions 30 to 416 of the family's 1533-position model. The record is from RNAcentral.